This 454-nucleotide long non-coding RNA is filed under the name Ananas comosus (pineapple). RNAcentral describes it as "long non-coding RNA (ACOM_LNC025078)". The record is from RNAcentral. Lineage: Eukaryota; Viridiplantae; Streptophyta; Magnoliopsida; Poales; Bromeliaceae.
GGUGCGUUACUUUUCAUUUAUUUUAUUUUCCUUAGAUACAAACUUUAUGUUACCUUUAGGCUUCGCUAGGUUUGGAAAUUAGUAGGACUAGUUAUUUUAGGGAUAGCUACAAGUAUGAAUUUUUGUAAGAAUAAGGAUAUUCUUUUAUUUGGAUGAAAAUGUGAGUAUAAGCUGGAACUAAAAAAAUUAUGUUUGGAUGAUUAUUGAAAAUAAGAGAAAUAGUUGAUGGUUAUAAAUAUAAAAUAAUGAUAUUAUUCUUAUAAUUAAAUUUAAAUUUUUAAAUUUUAAAUUAAAAAUUUUAACUUUUAAAUUUUAAAAAUUUAAAUUAAAAUUUAAAUUUUAAAUAUUCAAAUUUUAAAUUUUAAAAUUUAAAUUUAAUACCAAAUUUAAAUUUGAAAUAUAUAAAAUAUCAAAUUUAAAAUUUAAAAAUUUAUAAUAUCAAAUUUAAAUUUUA